Molecule: ribosomal RNA, 119 nt
Filed under: Sinocyclocheilus rhinocerous
Lineage: Eukaryota; Metazoa; Chordata; Actinopteri; Cypriniformes; Cyprinidae
Source: RNAcentral
GCUUACGGCCAUAGCACCCUGUCUGCCCCCGAUCUCGUCUGAUCUCGGAAGCUAAGCAGGGUCGGGCUUGAUUAGUACUUGGAUGGGACACAGCCUGGGAAUAGCAGGUGCUGUAAGCU